RNAcentral lists this ribosomal RNA (404 nucleotides) under uncultured Clostridium sp. RNAcentral describes it as "bacterial SSU rRNA". It matches the Rfam family "Bacterial small subunit ribosomal RNA", at positions 355 to 776 of the family's 1533-position model. Lineage: Bacteria; Bacillati; Bacillota; Clostridia; Eubacteriales; Clostridiaceae. The record is from RNAcentral.
UGGGGGAUAUUGCACAAUGGGGGAAACCCUGAUGCAGCGACGCCGCGUGAGUGAAGAAGUAUUUCGGUAUGUAAAGCUCUAUCAGCAGGGACGAAAAUGACGGUACCUGAGUAAGAAGCCCCGGCUAACUACGUGCCAGCAGCCGCGGUAAUACGUAGGGGGCAAGCGUUAUCCGGAUUUACUGGGUGUAAAGGGAGCGUAGACGGUUAUGCAAGUCUGGAGUGAAAGGCGGGGGCUCAACCCCCGGACUGCUCUGGAAACUGUAAAACUAGAGUGCAGGAGGGGUAAGUGGAAUUCCUAGUGUAGCGGUGAAAUGCGUAGAUAUUAGGAGGAACACCAGUGGCGAAGGCGGCUUACUGGACUGUAACUGACGUUGAGGCUCGAAAGCGUGGGGAGCAAACAGG